GGGAGUAUACCUCUGGGGUAGAGCAUUUGACUGCAGUUCAAGAGGUCCCUGGUUCAAAUCCAGGUGCCCCCU
Molecule: non-coding RNA, 72 nt
Organism: Ictidomys tridecemlineatus (thirteen-lined ground squirrel)
Lineage: Eukaryota; Metazoa; Chordata; Mammalia; Rodentia; Sciuridae
Source: Rfam